UACAUGGGGUGCAAACGUUGCUCGGAAUUAUUGGGCGUAAAGCGCACGUAGGCGGUUCGUUAAGUCGGAUGUGAAAGCCCUCGGCUCAACUGAGGAAGUGCACCCGAAACUGGCGAGCUUGAGUACGAAAGAGGAUCGCGGAAUUCCCGGUGUAGAGGUGAAAUUCGUAGAUAUCGGGAGGAACACCGGUGGCGAAGGCGGCGAUCUGGGUCGAUACUGACGCUGAGGUGCGAAGGCCAGGGUAGCGAACGGG
This 253-nucleotide ribosomal RNA is filed under the name uncultured bacterium. Its description in RNAcentral is "partial 16S ribosomal RNA". It matches the Rfam family "Bacterial small subunit ribosomal RNA", at positions 524 to 776 of the family's 1533-position model. The record is from RNAcentral.